AGAAAAGCUCAGCCUCUCCUUCAAAGGUUUUGGCAUCGACAACUCCUGUUCCAUCAUCCUCUGCUGAGGCUACUUCAUCCAAACCGGUCGAUGAAGGGGCUACUCUUAAAGAGACAUCUCCAGUCCCAGAGUCCUCAUCACAACCCAUGGAUGAGCCAUCUUCUUACUAGGACAUCAAUCCCCCAAACAUUGAAGCAGAAGGUAAUUCAGUCUUUUGAUUUCUUUCUUACCUUUGCUUGUGCUGUUGGUUUCUAAUUUGUUGCUCUUGAGUUCUGCAGAUACUCUUAUGAGUCCGCCCGUUGUGGCAACAUCUUCUCGCUCAGACAAGGGAAAGUCCUCGCGAAUGGAGGAGUCGUUGGUGGCAAGCUUGGCUGAGGGCAUGCCAUCU
Molecule: long non-coding RNA, 388 nt
Filed under: Olea europaea (common olive)
Lineage: Eukaryota; Viridiplantae; Streptophyta; Magnoliopsida; Lamiales; Oleaceae
Description: long non-coding RNA (OEUR_LNC011872)
Source: RNAcentral